This 265-nucleotide long non-coding RNA is filed under the name Lathyrus oleraceus (garden pea). RNAcentral's name for it is "Pisum sativum (pea) long non-coding RNA (PSAT_LNC022194)". Lineage: Eukaryota; Viridiplantae; Streptophyta; Magnoliopsida; Fabales; Fabaceae. The record is from RNAcentral.
GAUGUCUUAGCGAGCACACUCCUCUUUAACCCAUAGGUAGCCGAGCUACGAAGACUUUGAUUCUCAGAUUCAUAUGAGAUACGUAUGCAGUGGAUGCGACGUCCGUGCGAGUCAUUUUCUUUUGACCCUUCUUUUAGUAAAUAGUACAUUAGAUAAACAUACACGCUUUUCUCACCCCUUCAAUCAUGUUUGCACAAAUAAAUUUUCAAAAAAACAGCAACAACCUUUGCAACAAAUGUGAAAAGGGCUCCCUAGGAGUACCUAG